CAGCAGCCGCGGUAAUUCGAAGGGUGCAAGCGUUAAUCGGAAUUACUGGGCGUAAAGCGUGCGUAGGCGGUGAGUUAAGUCUGCUGUGAAAUCCCCGGGCUCAACCUGGGAAUGGCAGUGGAUACUGGCUCGCUAGAGUGUGUCAGAGGAUGGUGGAAUUCCCGGUGUAGCGGUGAAAUGCGUAGAGAUCGGGAGGAACAUCAGUGGCGAAGGCGGCCAUCUGGGACAACACUGACGCUGAGGCACGAAAGCGUGGGGAGCAAACAGGAUUAGAUACCCGCGUAGUCCCUGUCUCUUAUAA
Molecule: ribosomal RNA, 301 nt
Filed under: uncultured bacterium
Lineage: Bacteria
Description: partial 16S ribosomal RNA
Rfam family: Bacterial small subunit ribosomal RNA
Source: RNAcentral